AUUGAACGCUGGCGGCAGGCCUAACACAUGCAAGUCGAGCGGAGCGGCGGACGGGGAAGUAAUGCCUAGGACUCGGCCUGGUAGUGGUGGAUAAGGUCCGGAAACGGGCGCUAAUACCGCCUACUAUCAGAAUAGCCUAGGCCGGAUUGGCUCGUUGGUGGGGUAAAGGCAGACCAAGGCGACGAUCCGUAACUGGUCUGAGAGGAUGAUCAGUCACACGGGAACUGAGACACGGUCCAGACUCCUACGGGAGGCAGCAGUGGGGAAUAUUGGACAAUGGGCGAAAGCCUGAUGCAGCCAUGCCGCGUGUGUGAAGAAGGUCUUCGGAUUGUAAAGCACUUUAAGUUGGGAGGCGUUACCAACAGAAUAAGCACCGGCUAACUCCGUGCCAGCAGCCGCGGUAAUUC
This 407-nucleotide ribosomal RNA is filed under the name uncultured bacterium. RNAcentral describes it as "partial 16S ribosomal RNA". It matches the Rfam family "Bacterial small subunit ribosomal RNA", at positions 30 to 526 of the family's 1533-position model. The record is from RNAcentral.